This 1195-nucleotide long non-coding RNA is filed under the name Equus asinus (donkey). RNAcentral describes it as "lncRNA (ENSEASG00005037391.1)". Lineage: Eukaryota; Metazoa; Chordata; Mammalia; Perissodactyla; Equidae. The record is from RNAcentral.
UGCUGUCUCACAGGCUGGACUUGAACCCCAGUUGUUUUAAUGGUUAGUUGCAUCAAUAUAGGAAAAUUAAUUACAUUUUGUGAGCGACACUUUCCUUGUCUGCCAACCAGAAUUAAUUACAACUGGCUUAGUUAUUGAACAGAUAAGUUCACCUAUGUGGAAGAUCUAGGAUUGGGUUUCUCAUUUAGCCAGCACAGUCCUUAUUUUUGGCCCUUUCUCCUUAUAUGUGUACAAAGAAAGUGACUAGAAUCACCAGUCACUGGUGCUCUAGCCCUGCUGAUCUUCCCUCCAUUUCCAAUAUCAAGGGGACUCUGGACCUCAGCUAACACCUUCCCUGACUAAGGGCAAGGAGUUAUGAGCACAUCUCCUCUGAGAUCCCUUUUCACAACAAGUGCUAAUGAUUCUGGAGUUCUGAUUCUUGAAGAUAAAACAUGUGAAAGGGGAAUUUCCACAGGAAGAGAUUCGGCCUUGUUCAUUGAAUAGUCAGUCUGACUCACCACCAUUGUCAUUACUUACUUCUUGACGUCAUAUAUUUCUUGCCAAACUUCGAAGGAUAUUAAGUGCAAUUAUCCUAUACCACAAUGAGAGACAUUUAGGAAGGACAGACCCCCUGCAGCUCACCAGCACCUUGGCCUAUUACAGCUACCUCCUGCUCCUCCUCGUGAGCGCGGUCUACUUUGCCAUCAUCACCAUCUGUCUGUGUAGGAGAACAGCCGUCUCUGGCAAUGGAAAGAAUUCAUAACAGAUGGGGGGACAAAGAAGUCAACUUUAGUUCAUCAUUUAUUGUCCCUAGAAGUGUCUACUGCGAAUCUACCUUGGCUUUCUCUCUGGGUUUGGGUUAUUCCAGUUCAAAAGUGUGCUUUGCUGUUAUGCCAUUAUUGUGUAAUGGUUUUUCAAAACACUGGGCAAAUAGAAAUUUUUUCUCUAUGACAGCAAUGAACUCUGCCAUUACUCAGGGGCAGGGCCGUGGGGUCGUCCUUUAGCACCACUCUCUCCAUGAUCUCCAUCAGCUCCUCCAGCAAACUGAAUGACCAUGCCUUCUGAGUACAGACAACAUGCAACUCUACUCACGUCCCUUAGGGCCAUUUAACCAGAUGACCACCUUGGAGCCUUCCAUUUUACACACGCAGAAGUCACCAUCAUUGUCACUUAAAUUCUAUACUUCGUUUUUCAUAAUGGGCACAAUAAAAAAAAU